RNAcentral lists this long non-coding RNA (218 nucleotides) under Elaeis guineensis (African oil palm). RNAcentral describes it as "long non-coding RNA (EGUI_LNC066328)". Lineage: Eukaryota; Viridiplantae; Streptophyta; Magnoliopsida; Arecales; Arecaceae. The record is from RNAcentral.
GAUAGCAUCGAGAAUUAAUCCGAAAAAACAUCUUCUCACAGAAGGACCCUUUAGUGCGGAAUUAAUUUCACAGUGCUUUUUGAAGUGUCGUGAGGCUUCAUAAGUGGUGCCAACUUAAUCCAAGGGAUAGGAUUUCAUUUGAUGGCCAUCCAAUGGCCAAGAUAGGAGGUGCCCACUUCAGAUUUUGCAUGGAGAAGGGAUAGACAUGGGAAAGGGUG